Long non-coding RNA from Ailuropoda melanoleuca (giant panda), 1890 nucleotides. RefSeq lists it as uncharacterized. The record is from RefSeq and is a predicted model, not a curated record. The transcript has 4 exons. Lineage: Eukaryota; Metazoa; Chordata; Mammalia; Carnivora; Ursidae.
UAAAGGAUAUUUUCUAUUCACUGUAUUUGAGUAUCAUGUUUACAAUGGUCCAGGCAGACACUAACAGGUAGAAUGAUGAGAAUAAAUGUUAUCUCUAAUUUUAAGAUCUCUGUCUAGUGAAAAGGUUAGAAAAUUAUACCUCAAUUUUUAAUAACAUAAGAAGAGCGCAUCCAACAUGCUAUGAGACGGUAGAGUUGGGUCUGGAAUCUAACAAUAAGACCACACAUAUGUAAAAAGAGCUUAUCAGAUGGAGAAAUAUAAAACAUAGAAGGAGGACUUGAAAAGCUGAGACAGGUGUGAAGUGUGAUGGUAAAAUUUUAAAGCAGAUGAUGAAGGAAAGCCUCACUGUGAAAAAGAUAACCGAGUGGACAGGAAAGAGAUAUUUGGUUUUUAGCAUUGUAGAUACGCAAGAGGGAACUUGUAUCUCCCAAGUCACUUCAGCUGAACUCAGACCAGAAAAACAGCACAGAAUAAGGGGUUUGUCUGACUUCUCUAUUUGGCCCACUGCAGUCUCAGGCAGUUCCUGGAGAAGUCCCCAUGAAGCCCCGUACGUGCAGCAACUUUGACAGGGGCCGUUAACCUCCACUGGUUUGUGGUCUAGUUCUGAUUCUCCUCUCAAACUGAAGACACCGCGUGUCCCAGGAGAGACUAAACAUCCAAAAGAGUUUUAUAGGUCUCAUAUCACGGUUACAGCAGGGCUGAAUGUGUUCCUUGCCAGCAUUUAUGGCUCAUGGCUGAAUCACUCCAAUUUCUGCUUCCAUGAUGACAUUGCCUUCGCUUUUGUACUCAAAUCUCCCUCUGCCUCACCCUUCUACAAAUACAUGUGAUUACAACAAACUCACUCCAUCUCAAGAUUCUUACUUUCAUCACUUCUGCAAAGUCCUUUUGCCAUAGAAAUUAAUAUUAAUGGUUUCCAGUGAUUGUGAGUUGGAUACUUUGGGGGCCAUUAUUCAGAUUACCACAGAACCCAAGAUGCCCCCAGGUUGUGUUCUGCCCCCAUCUGGACCCUUCUUAGCCCACAAGAUACACUCGGACAGUUUAUCCCAGUAUUGCAGACAUGCCAUUGGGUUUUCAGGGGAACUUUCACUACUCUGUCACAUAGGCUACUUCAGUGGGCAUGUUGCUAAUAUCUUUUAUCCAUAAUGUCACACCCACACCCAUUCUCCAUAAUUCUUUGUUGCAUUCUAUGCUCCUGGAAGCUGAACUCUUAACAACUGCAUCACACAGACAUUCUUGCCUUCUGGCUUCUGGCUAGUUUCAGCUAUGGGGAGACGUUGACAGGAGAUCAGAACAUGAGAGGAGAAAGUAGGCAAAUUAUUUAAUUCUUCAGUUUCUCCUUGACUAAUCAGGUCCUGGCAAUGGCCAAAAUCUGUCCUUGUGAACUCCUAGCAUCCUUCCGACACUCAACAGUGGAGCACAACAUGAUCAUUAUCCUGCCGUACACAACAUUGCCUAAAAAAAUCAAUGUGUUCUAUUCAUUAAGGAAUAAAAGCUGAGUCCUGAUAAAGUGCUUUGUGGUAGUUUCCUAGAAUAUUGGCUGCUAAAAAAUAUUUGCCAUAUAAUUACUAAAUAAAUAAACCAUCUGUAUUCUGAUAUGGCAUAUGUGGCAUUUCUUUCAGAAAGAGUCAGCAUUUUAUUUAGCAUUUAACCCAGUAGUUAUUUUUUUUUUAAAGAUUUUAUUUAUUUGACAGAGAUAGAGACAGCCAGUGAGAGAGGGAACACAAGCAGGGGGAGUGGGAGAGGAAGAAGCAGGCUCAUAGCAGAGGAGCCUGAUGUGGGGCUCGAUCCCAUAACGCCAGGAUCACGCCCUGAGCUGAAGGCAGAAGCUUAACCGCUGUGCCACCCAGGCGCCCCAACCAGCAGUUAUUUUUAAUCAUCAUGUACCUGGUU